Molecule: ribosomal RNA, 253 nt
Filed under: uncultured bacterium
Lineage: Bacteria
Description: partial 16S ribosomal RNA
Rfam family: Bacterial small subunit ribosomal RNA
Source: RNAcentral
UACAGAGGGGGCAAGCGUUAUUCGGAAUUAUUGGGCGUAAAGGGCGCGUAGGCGGCAGGAUAAGUCUGACGUGAAAUCCCUCGGCCUAACCGAGGAACUGCGUUUGAAACUGUCCAGCUCGAGUCCGGGAGAGGGUAGUGGAAUUCCCAGUGUAGCGGUGAAAUGCGUAGAUAUUGGGAGGAACACCGGUGGCGAAGGCGGCUACCUGGACCGGUACUGACGCUGAGGCGCGAAAGCCAGGGGAGCAAACAGG